GACGAACGCUGGCGGCGUGCCUAAUACAUGCAAGUCGAGCGGAACACUUGGAGCUUGCUCCAAGCGUUUAGCGGCGGACGGGUGAGUAACACGUGGGCAACCUGCCCUGCAGAUCGGGAUAACUCCGGGAAACCGGUGCUAAUACCGAAUAGUUUGAGGCCUCUCCUGAGGCUUCACGGAAAGACGGUUUCGGCUGUCACUGCAGGAUGGGCCCGCGGCGCAUUAGCUAGUUGGUGGGGUAACGGCCCACCAAGGCCACGAUGCGUAGCCGACCUGAGAGGGUGACCGGCCACACUGGGACUGAGACACGGCCCAGACUCCUACGGGAGGCAGCAGUAGGGAAUCUUCCGCAAUGGACGCAAGUCUGACGGAGCAACGCCGCGUGAGUGACGAAGGUUUUCGGAUCGUAAAACUCUGUUGUGAGGGAAGAACACGUACCAACUAACUAUUGGUACCUUGACGGUACCUCACCAGAAAGCCACGGCUAACUACGUGCCAGCAGCCGCGGUAAUACG
This 515-nucleotide ribosomal RNA is filed under the name uncultured bacterium. RNAcentral describes it as "bacterial SSU rRNA". It matches the Rfam family "Bacterial small subunit ribosomal RNA", at positions 28 to 527 of the family's 1533-position model. The record is from RNAcentral.